This 253-nucleotide ribosomal RNA is filed under the name uncultured bacterium. RNAcentral describes it as "partial 16S ribosomal RNA". It matches the Rfam family "Bacterial small subunit ribosomal RNA", at positions 524 to 776 of the family's 1533-position model. The record is from RNAcentral.
UACGUAGGGGCAAGCGUUGUCCGGAUUUAUUGGGCGUAAAGAGCGUGUAGGCGGCCUGGUAGGUCAGCUGUGAAAACUCGGAGGCUCAACCUCGAGAUGUCGGCGGAAACCAUCUGGCUAGAGUCCGGAAGAGGAGAGUGGAAUUCCUGGUGUAGCGGUGAAAUGCGCAGAUAUCAGGAAGAACACCCGUGGCGAAGGCGGCUCUCUGGGACGGUACUGACGCUGAGACGCGAAAGCGUGGGGAGCGAACAGG